This is a long non-coding RNA of Vombatus ursinus (common wombat), 883 nucleotides long. RefSeq lists it as uncharacterized. The transcript is spliced from 3 exons. NCBI's taxonomy places the organism in Eukaryota, Metazoa, Chordata, Mammalia, Diprotodontia, Vombatidae. The record is from RefSeq and is a predicted model, not a curated record.
UGGGGAGUAAAUUAAAAUUUGUGAUUGUUCUUCCGCAGAGGCAGCCUUGGGGUAGGGGAGCCGGAGGAGGCGGCCCAAGGUCUCACCCUCAGGGUAAUAAGACGAAGCCGGUAGUCAUCAGCCUGAAUGACCUGCUUGACGGUGAUCUCGACCCCGUCAUACACAACCUGCUCUUCUGGCCAGUACUCUGUGCAUUUCUGGAGGUAUACAAGGGUGAGAUAACGUUAUCCAGCUCCCUAAACAAACUGUCAUGGUGGACAGUGUUGGAAACACUGCCUGCCUGUGUAGCUUCCAGUGAGGACUCCAGAAGAGGCAAGGAACCAUGGGAGACUGCCUAUUUGUUCCAGACCCAAAGUCAGAAGUUGGUGAAUCAGUUUUUGGCAUACUUUGUGAUUCCAAUCCAAAAAGAAUGAGCCUGCAUGAGAAAGCCAUCAACCUGUCUGUACGUACCCAACAAUGUGUGAGCGCUGAAUUUUGCUUUAAAGGCUGAAGUUACUCCGAUCUAACACCAGAUUUGUAACUAACAAGGGGCAAGUGGUACUUUGCCUCGAGGUAAUAUCUUGGAAGGCGUGUGCUUUCUUUUCACCACAACCACCAAUCAGUGACUUCUAGAAUCUUGUGGUACAAUCAUCCCUGACCACCCUGCCAAGAUUCUGUUCCUGUGGUGGCCAUUGGAGUGUUCUCUUCCAUCCCUCCAAGGAGAAAAGGAUCCCCCUCUUAGGUAGAACUCUCCUUUGCACCACUGUAUCACCAAAUCUUCCCUUUCCCUCCACCUCCCCAGUCAGAUACUUCAUAGUAUGGCCAUGUAUCCCAUACCUUGGACUCUUCUGUCAUCUUUCUGUUCCAUGUGGAUAGAAUUGUGUCACUCUGCCCUAUCCCUUCA